RNAcentral lists this unclassified non-coding RNA (2670 nucleotides) under Bombyx mandarina (wild silkworm). Its description in RNAcentral is "putative uncharacterized protein DDB_G0282133, transcript variant X3". Lineage: Eukaryota; Metazoa; Arthropoda; Insecta; Lepidoptera; Bombycidae. The record is from RNAcentral.
AUUUAUGGCCGUCGCAGUUCUUGGAAUAUACGAUAUUGCCGGGCGGAAGGUUAUCACGCUUGAGACUAGCACAACAUAAUAAAUUGGCGUCCUCAGAUCAAUCAGAUUCAGUUCAAUUUACGCAGCGUGCGAGCUGCCAGGGUUUGUUUGUGAAUACUUAGCUUUAUCUCAACUCUUAAGUGUUUGGAUAAAUCAAAACCAUGAGACGACUACUUCUGUUUGCCGCACUAUCGGCGUUGGCUUUGGCCAAACCUGAACUUUAUAAAGAAAAAGAAGACUUUCACUAUUCUAGAAGUUCGUCGGACGAAGGUAGCAAGUCUGGAUUUUAUGGUGCGCAAAGAGGAAACAUGGGGGGUAAUUUUGAACGUGCUCACAACAUGGAUUCACUUGCUCAAAGACAUUUGAGCGGCGCGAUCUCACAAGUUGAAGGAGAGUUGGGCGAGGAGGGAUCAAAAACCAGAACGGGUAGCGUGUACACUGCUGCAAAUUCUGCGGGCUUUUAUGGAUCGGGAAAUUAUGAUCUUAGUAACCUAAGGGGACGUAAUUUUCAAGAAGGAACGUACCUAGAUAAUGCGCACUCCUCAUUGUUAUCCAACGCGCAAUAUAGUACGCAAGCGAUAAAUAGAAAUUCUCAUUAUAGCAAUAGUCAAUUCAGUAAUUCGAAUUAUCGAAAUAGUCAUCGUGCAUCUCCAUCUCAGUCACAACAUAUAAGUGACCUACAAGCUUCAGAUGGCUCACAAGGUUAUCAACAAUUUGAUUACGGAGGUCAAGCUGCAGCCGCAGAAAUUUAUUCCAAAAGCAAUGGGCGGGUUGCCUCCGAUCGAUACAGCAAUGAUCAGAAUGCCUACGACCAAUACAACUCGAAUGCACUUGCUAACAAUGAAGCGAUUAUUAACAUUGAUACUAGUGUUCAUAAGCCCAAACAUUUCCAAUCAGCAUACAGCUAUCAUAAGCAAUGGGAAAAACAUGACACAAAACCAUUAAUCAUAUCAGUACCUAAUAGUAAUUAUCCCAAAAAUAAUGAUCUUCCUAUUCCCGAAAAUAGUGAACUUUAUGAAGAUGCAGUAGCCCAAACUUCGAAUCAACAGUUUGAAGAGGCUGGAUUCAAUUCUCAUAAUCAUGCUAGUAGUAUUAACAGUGAUUAUAGUGGCCAAUCUAAAUCAUCUAGGAACUCUCGACUAAGUUCUGCAGCUAAUGGCGACGCAUACAAUCAAUUGCUGGCAGUUAGUGAUAGUAAACCAAAAACCUAUCAUUCUUCGUAUUCGUAUAAAAAGUCAUGGGAGCGUAGGGGUGAUCCUUAUGUAAUACAGCCUAGUGUAAGAUCACAAGUCGAUAGUGAUUACGACGCAACAGCUGCACAAACAUUGACAUCAAAUGCCAACCUUUUAGAUUCACAAAGAUACACGCACAACCAACAUCAGUCACUGAAUGCCAUAAACUGUCAAAUCUGUGAUGAACAUGGCUAUAUCCGUGUUCCACGGUCAUAUAACGUUAAUCAGUAUUUCGAACGAGCACAAAAACAUGACGACCAACAAAUAACACAACAGAUUCAGAACUCUGAUGAUUUACAGCAAGGAAAUAAUCAAUUCGAAACACUGGAAGACCUCGGUCAACAAACUCAAAAUCAGUGGGACAACCUCGAAAAUUUGGGUCAACAAACACAAGAUAGCUGGGGUAAAGCUGAAGACUUAAGUCAGCAAACUCAAAACAAUUUUGAUAAACUUGAAGACUUGGGACAACAAACGCAAAACCAUUGGGGUAAAUUAGAAGAUUUAGGGCAACAAACACAAAAUCAAUGGGACAACCUUGAAAAUUUGGGUCAGCAGACACAAGAUAGCUGGGGAAAAGCAGACGAGUUAAGCCAGCAAACUCAAACCAAUUUUGAUAAAUUGGAAGACUUGGGACAACAAACACAAAACCAUUGGGGUAAAUUAGAAGAUUUAGGGCAACAAACACAAAAUCAAUGGGACAACCUCGAAAAUUUGGGUCAGCAGACACAAGAUAGCUGGGGUAAAGCAGACGAGUUAAGCCAACAAACUCAAACCAAUUUUGAUAAAUUGGAAGACUUGGGACAACAAACACAAAAACAUUGGGGUAAAUUAGAAGAUUUGGGGCAACAAACACAAAAUCAACGGAGAAACCUCGAAAAUUUGGGUCAGCAGACACAAGAUAGCUGGGGUAAAGCUGAAGACUUAAGUCAGCAAACUCAAAACAAUUUUGAUAAAUUUGAAGACUUGGGGCAACAAACACAAAAUCAAUGGGGAAACCUCGAAAAUUUUGGUCAGCAGACACAAGAUAACUGGGAUAAGGCAAAGGACUUAAGCCAGCAAACUCAAAACAAUUUUGAUAAACUUGAAAGCUUUGGACAACAAACACAUCAUCACUGGAACAGUUUUAGCCGAGAACAAAAUCAACUGCAUCAUCACAACAUAUAUUUCAACUCUAUUCUAUGAUAAAUUUUUACUAUUGCUUCGGCAAUGCCUUGCCAAAGUGAGCUUCCUAAUAAUAAUUGUUAUGGCAAUAUUUGGGACCAUGGCAUCGACUUUACCAGCAGGUGGUUCCGGCGUGAUUUACUUCUGUUAUAUAACAACGUCCCUUUGCAGCAAUUUGUCGGCUGCAAUAUUCUGUGUAUUCAUUCUUACUUUUCAAAGAGAAUAUCAGUAUUUUUCC